RNAcentral lists this unclassified non-coding RNA (303 nucleotides) under plant metagenome. Its description in RNAcentral is "partial contains 5.8S ribosomal RNA, internal transcribed spacer 2, and large subunit ribosomal RNA". The stretch from base 1 to 105 matches the Rfam family "5.8S ribosomal RNA", at positions 50 to 154 of the family's 154-position model. The record is from RNAcentral.
GAAAUGCGAUAAGUAGUGUGAAUUGCAGAAUUCAGUGAAUCAUCGAAUCUUUGAACGCACAUUGCGCCCUUUGGUAUUCCUUAGGGCAUGCCUGUUCGAGCGUCAUUUAAACCUUCAAGCUCAGCUUGGUGAUGGGUGACUGUCCUCCCCUCGCGGGGGGGACGCGCCUCAAAAACAUUGGCGGCCGGUACAUUGGCUUCGAGCGCAGCAGAAACGCGGUCUCGAGUCCGGUGGAUCGGCUCCCAUAAGCCUUCUUUUUUAUUUUGACCUCGGAUCAGGUAGGGAUACCCGCUGAACUUAAGC